Molecule: ribosomal RNA, 523 nt
Filed under: Ancistrocerus oviventris
Lineage: Eukaryota; Metazoa; Arthropoda; Insecta; Hymenoptera; Vespidae
Description: partial small subunit ribosomal RNA
Source: RNAcentral
UUAAACUAUUAUAUAAGAGUUAAUUAAUUCAAUAUAAAUAAAAUAAAAAUAAAAAAAAUAAUUUGUAUAAUUAAAGUAAUUUUAAAUGGUGAAAUAUAAAAAAUUAUAAAUUUAUAUAAUUAAAAAUAAUAUAAUUUAAAAGUUUAUAAAAUAGACUAGGAUUAGAUACCCUAUUAUAAUAAAAUAAAAAUUUUAAUAUUAAAGUAUUAAAUGUUAAAUCAUUAAAUUUAUAAGAUUUGGCGGUAUUUUAUACAAAUUAGGGGAACUUGUUUAGUAAUUGAUGAACCACGAUAAGAUUUACUUAAUUUAAUAUUUAUGUAUUGCUGUUUAAAAAUAUAUUUUAAGAAUAUAAAUUAAAAUUUAAAAUUAAUAAAAUAAUUCAAGUCAAAAUAUAGUUUAGUUAAGAUAUAAAAUGAGUUACAAAAAAAUAAAUUUAUAUGAAUUUUUAUAUUUAAUAAUAAAAUGAAGGUGGAUUUAAGAGUAAAUUUAAUAAAUAAAUUAAUUUGAAAUUUUGUUUUAAAAU